RNAcentral lists this ribosomal RNA (494 nucleotides) under uncultured bacterium. RNAcentral describes it as "partial 16S ribosomal RNA". It matches the Rfam family "Bacterial small subunit ribosomal RNA", at positions 28 to 504 of the family's 1533-position model. The record is from RNAcentral.
GACGAACGCUGGCGGCGUGCCUAAUACAUGCAAGUUGAGCGAUGAAGAUUGGUGCUUGCACCAAUUUGAAGAGCAGCGAACGGGUGAGUAACGCGUGGGGAAUCUGCCUUUGAGCGGGGGACAACAUUUGGAAACGAAUGCUAAUACCGCAUAACAACUUUAAACAUAAGUUUUAAGUUUGAAAGAUGCAAUUGCAUCACUCAAAGAUGAUCCCGCGUUGUAUUAGCUAGUUGGUGAGGUAAAGGCUCACCAAGGCGAUGAUACAUAGCCGACCUGAGAGGGUGAUCGGCCACAUUGGGACUGAGACACGGCCCAAACUACUACGGGAGGCAGCAGUAGGGAAUCUUCGGCAAUGGACGAAAGUCUGACCGAGCAACGCCGCGUGAGUGAAGAAGGUUUUCGGAUCGUAAAACUCUGUUGGUAGAGAAGAACGUUGGUGAGAGUGGAAAGCUCAUCAAGUGACGGUAACUACCCAGAAAGGGACGGCUAACUAC